UUGGAAUCAAUUGUUGUUGGA
Non-coding RNA from Caenorhabditis elegans, 21 nucleotides. Lineage: Eukaryota; Metazoa; Nematoda; Chromadorea; Rhabditida; Rhabditidae. The record is from Ensembl.